RNAcentral lists this ribosomal RNA (55 nucleotides) under Theobroma microcarpum. Its description in RNAcentral is "partial large subunit ribosomal RNA". Lineage: Eukaryota; Viridiplantae; Streptophyta; Magnoliopsida; Malvales; Malvaceae. The record is from RNAcentral.
ACCUCGGAUCAGGUAGGGAUACCCGCUGAACUUANGCAUAUCAAUAAGCGGAGGA